Molecule: ribosomal RNA, 253 nt
Filed under: uncultured bacterium
Lineage: Bacteria
Description: partial 16S ribosomal RNA
Rfam family: Bacterial small subunit ribosomal RNA
Source: RNAcentral
UACGGGGGGGGUAAGCGUUGUUCGGAAUUACUGGGCGUAAAGGGCUCGUAGGCGGCCAACUAAGUCAGACGUGAAAUCCCUCAGCUUAACUGGGGAACUGCGUCUGAUACUGGAUGGCUUGGAUUCGGGAGAGGGAUGCAGAAUUCCAGGUGUAGCGGUGAAAUGCGUAGAUAUCUGGAGGAAUACCGGUGGCGAAGGCGGCAUCCUGGACCGACAUUGACGCUGAGGAGCGAAAGCUAGGGGAGCAAACGGG